AAACAAAUGUCUGCAGCCACUUUUUUUUUUUCCUUCCACGCGCACACUCCUCACAGCCAAUGGCAGCGAGAGAGCCACUGACAACAUCCCCAUCCCGCCGCAGCGCACAGAGGCAGCGCCGCUGACAAGUGAACGGCCCAUGCCGCUGGAUGACGACAAUUAAGGGCAGUUUUUGUUAUUUAUUAUUAAUAAACAUUGACGCGACACGUUACAAUAUAAGGUGUUUGGCUACAAAUAAAAAGUUUUCUGAAAAUGCUUAAAAACAACAACAACAACAACCAUCUGCAUCACUUUAACUUGUAUAAUGGCAACACUGACACGAAAUGUAAUAAGGCGCAGGUUAAACGAAAAAAGGUGUUUUAAAAGUGUCCUCUCAUUCACAGAGACAGUCAGUGUGCUGCCAUGUCCCUGCCUGCACCAAACAUGAGGGGACUGUCACCGGGAGACACCGAGGAACUGGACACACACAGAAAUAUCAAGGAGGCAGUUAUGGAUCAUAACCCCUGGAUUCCUUUUUAACCUGCAACAGAGAAGGAGCUGCAACACAAUCCAGGAGUUUGCCAGCAAACAAACGGAUGCAAUUAAAACACAACACACACUUGCCUUCAGAUCAUCAAUGAGGAAGGCAAAGUCAAGACUGGCAGAAAACAGACAAGGACAAAUAAAAGGCGGGAGAGAAGACUCCGCUGCCUCAAGGUUAACACUGACUCAAAGGAAACGUGUGAAGAGCUCGUCUCGGCACAAUGUGGACACGUCACCGACUGUGGAUCAUAGCAGCUGCACUCGUGAUGUUUUAAUUAAUGAUUUUUAUUUAAGUGAAUUAAAACAAUUUCCCCUUU
Molecule: long non-coding RNA, 839 nt
Organism: Solea senegalensis (Senegalese sole)
Lineage: Eukaryota; Metazoa; Chordata; Actinopteri; Pleuronectiformes; Soleidae
Exons: 3
Source: RefSeq, a predicted model, not a curated record